Molecule: signal recognition particle RNA, 299 nt
Filed under: Cebus imitator (Panamanian white-faced capuchin)
Lineage: Eukaryota; Metazoa; Chordata; Mammalia; Primates; Cebidae
Description: Metazoan signal recognition particle RNA (ENSCCAG00000012184.1)
Rfam family: Metazoan signal recognition particle RNA
About the family: The signal recognition particle (SRP) is a universally conserved ribonucleoprotein. It is involved in the co-translational targeting of proteins to membranes. The eukaryotic SRP consists of a 300-nucleotide 7S RNA and six proteins: SRPs 72, 68, 54, 19, 14, and 9.
Source: RNAcentral
GCCAGGCACAGUGGCACGUGCCUGUAGUCCCAGCUACUCGAGAGGCUGAGGUGGGAGGAUCUCUUGAACCCAGGAGUUCUGGGCUGCUGUGCACUAUGCUGAUCAGGUGUCUGCACUAAGUUCAUCAUCAAUAUGGUGACCUCCCGGGAGCGGGGGACCACUAGGUUACCUAAGGAGGGGUGAACCGGCCCAGGUCAGAAACAGAGCAGGUCAAAACUCCUGUGCUGAUCAGUAGUGGGAUCGUGCCUGUGAAUAGCCACUGCACUCCAGCCUGGGCAACAUAACGAGACCCCAUCUCA